UCUGGUGUCAGCCGCCGCGGUAAAACCAGCACCUCAAGUGGUCGGGAUGAUUAUUGGGCCUAAAGCGUCCGUAGCUCGUUUUGUAAGUUUUCGGUUAAAUCCAUGCGCUCAACGUAUGGGCUGCCGGGAAUACUGCAUAACUAGGAAGUGGGAGAGGUAGACGGUACUCGGUAGGAAGGGGUAAAAUCCUUUGAUCUAUUGAUGACCACCUGUGGCGAAGGCGGUCUACCAGAACACGUUCGACGGUGAGGGAUGAAAGCUGGGGGAGCAAACCGGAUUAGAUACCCGGGUAGUCCCAGCUGUAAACUAUGCAAACUCAGUGAUGCAUUGGCUUGUGGCCAAUGCAGUGCCGCAGGGAAGCCGUUAAGUUUGCCGCCUGGGAAGUACGGACGCAAGUCUGAAACUUAAAG
This 410-nucleotide ribosomal RNA is filed under the name uncultured Nitrososphaerota archaeon. RNAcentral's name for it is "bacterial SSU rRNA". It matches the Rfam family "Archaeal small subunit ribosomal RNA", at positions 451 to 861 of the family's 1478-position model. The record is from RNAcentral. Lineage: Archaea; Thermoproteati; Nitrososphaerota.